Molecule: ribosomal RNA, 147 nt
Filed under: Mytella brasiliensis
Lineage: Eukaryota; Metazoa; Mollusca; Bivalvia; Mytilida; Mytilidae
Description: Modiolus brasiliensis partial 18S ribosomal RNA
Rfam family: Eukaryotic small subunit ribosomal RNA
Source: RNAcentral
GCGAUUUAGUGAGCGCCUCGGAUUGGACCCGGAACGGUUGGCAACGACCGUACCGCUGUGUGCCGAAAAGACGCGCAAACUUGAUCGCCUAGAGGAAGUAAAAGUCGUAACAAGGUUUCCGUAGGUGAACCUGCGGAAGGAUCAUUA